RNAcentral lists this ribosomal RNA (460 nucleotides) under uncultured bacterium. RNAcentral describes it as "partial 16S ribosomal RNA". It matches the Rfam family "Bacterial small subunit ribosomal RNA", at positions 338 to 795 of the family's 1533-position model. The record is from RNAcentral.
CCUACGGGCGGCAGCAGUGAGGAAUAUUGGUCAAUGGACGCGAGUCUGAACCAGCCAAGUAGCGUGAAGGAUGACUGCCCUAUGGGUUGUAAACUUCUUUUAUAUGGGAAUAAAAUGUUCCACGUGUGGGAUUUUGUAUGUACCAUAUGAAUAAGGAUCGGCUAACUCCGUGCCAGCAGCCGCGGUAAUACGGAGGAUCCGAGCGUUAUCCGGAUUUAUUGGGUUUAAAGGGAGCGUAGGUGGAUUGUUAAGUCAGUUGUGAAAGUUUGCGGCUCAACCGUAAAAUUGCAGUUGAAACUGGCAGUCUUGAGUACAGUAGAGGUGGGCGGAAUGCGUGGUGUAGCGGUGAAAUGCUUAGAUAUCACGAAGAACUCCGAUUGCGAAGGCAGUUCACUGGACUGCAACUGACACUGAGGCUCGAAAGUGUGGGUAUCAAACAGGAUUAGAUACCCGAGUAGUC